UCGAAUGGGGAGAUUCAUCGUCAGCGAUUCUGGUACGUGUGCGGCUCGCGAUGUCCGAGACUUCGGUCUCGCGGCACGCGUCCGCAUGUUUUUUAUUGCUGGAAUCGUCGGCGUGCACUUCUCCCCUAGUAGGACGUCGCGACCCGUUGGGUGUCGGUCUACGGCACGGUAGGUAGCCUGUCACGUGUGCGCUUCACGGCGUUACGCGGGGCAGACCUCCGUUCGCCCGACCGGCUGCUCGGCGGUACUCGCAAGGUAUCUGGCCGCAGACAUACGAACUGCGUCCGGCCCGUCGCAAGCGCGGCAAGUGUUUCCCGGCUGUCACGGAUCUAAUGCCGUCACCGGGCCUUGCCAGCUGUUGGUUGACGGUGUCCUAGGACUGGCUAACAAAAUUAUGAUACCGGUCGGCGACGCUACUGCUUUGGGUACUUUCAGGACCCGUCUUGAAACACGGACCAAGGAGUCUAACAUGUGCGCGAGUCAUUGGGAGCUAUUAAGCCUAAAGGCGCAAUGAAAGUGAAGAUCGGCCUUGCGCCGAUCGAGGGAGGAUGGGCCGCGUCACGAUGCGGUCCCGCACUCCCGGGGCGUCUCGUUCUCAUUGCGAGAAGAGGCGCACCCAGAGCGUACACGUUGG
This 634-nucleotide ribosomal RNA is filed under the name Ichneumon alpinator. Its description in RNAcentral is "eukaryotic LSU rRNA". It matches the Rfam family "Eukaryotic large subunit ribosomal RNA", at positions 574 to 812 of the family's 3401-position model. Lineage: Eukaryota; Metazoa; Arthropoda; Insecta; Hymenoptera; Ichneumonidae. The record is from RNAcentral.